RNAcentral lists this ribosomal RNA (277 nucleotides) under Anaerobutyricum hallii. Its description in RNAcentral is "partial 16S ribosomal RNA". It matches the Rfam family "Bacterial small subunit ribosomal RNA", at positions 1257 to 1533 of the family's 1533-position model. The record is from RNAcentral. RNAcentral also lists the same sequence under 1 other name. Lineage: Bacteria; Bacillati; Bacillota; Clostridia; Lachnospirales; Lachnospiraceae.
GCGAGGGGGAGCAAACCACAAAAAGGCCGUCCCAGUUCGGACUGUAGUCUGCAACCCGACUACACGAAGCUGGAAUCGCUAGUAAUCGCGAAUCAGAAUGUCGCGGUGAAUACGUUCCCGGGUCUUGUACACACCGCCCGUCACACCAUGGGAGUCGGAAAUGCCCGAAGCCAGUGACCCAACCUUUUGGAGGGAGCUGUCGAAGGUGGAGCCGGUAACUGGGGUGAAGUCGUAACAAGGUAGCCGUAUCGGAAGGUGCGGCUGGAUCACCUCCUUU